RNAcentral lists this transfer RNA (77 nucleotides) under Illex argentinus (Argentinian squid). Its description in RNAcentral is "tRNA-Glu". It matches the Rfam family "tRNA". Rfam says of the family: Transfer RNA (tRNA) molecules are approximately 80 nucleotides in length. Their secondary structure includes four short double-helical elements and three loops (D, anti-codon, and T loops). Lineage: Eukaryota; Metazoa; Mollusca; Cephalopoda; Oegopsida; Ommastrephidae. The record is from RNAcentral.
GUUCUUAUAGUGUAGGUAAGCACAUAAGAUUUUCAAUCUUAGAGGGCAUUAUAAUCAAAUAAAGUAUGCUAAGAAUA